This 76-nucleotide transfer RNA is filed under the name Aggregatibacter actinomycetemcomitans NUM4039. RNAcentral's name for it is "tRNA-Asn". The record is from RNAcentral. Lineage: Bacteria; Pseudomonadati; Pseudomonadota; Gammaproteobacteria; Pasteurellales; Pasteurellaceae.
UAUGUCGCUGGUUCAAGUCCAGCAGGAGGAGCCAAUUUUUCUUUUGGACAGUUUUUAUUUAUCUCCUUAUUAUGAA